This 160-nucleotide unclassified non-coding RNA is filed under the name soil metagenome. RNAcentral's name for it is "partial internal transcribed spacer 1". The record is from RNAcentral.
CAGAGUUGCAAGACUCCCUAAACCAUUGUGAACCUACCUUCUACCGUUGCUUCGGCGGGCGGGCCCAGCGCCCCCCCCGGCCCCCCGCGGGCGCCCGCCGGAGGAUACCCAAACUCUCGACAUUAGUGGCCUCUCUGAGUAUUCUUUACUGAAUAAGUCA